UGCAAGUCGAGCGAACGGACGAGAAGCUUGCUUCUCUGAUGUUUGCGGCGGACGGGUGAGUAACACGUGGAUAACCUACCUAUAAGACUGGGAUAACUUCGGGAAACCGGAGCUAAUACCGGAUAAUAUUUUGAACCGCAUGGUUCAAAAGUGAAAGACGGUCUUGCUGUCACUUAUAGAUGGAUCCGCGCUGCAUUAGCUAGUUGGUAAGGUAACGGCUUACCAAGGCAACGAUGCAUAGCCGACCUGAGAGGGUGAUCGGCCACACUGGAACUGAGACACGGUCCAGACUCCUACGGGAGGCAGCAGUAGGGAAUCUUCCGCAAUGGGCGAAAGCCUGACGGAGCAACGCCGCGUGAGUGAUGAAGGUCUUCGGAUCGUAAAACUCUGUUAUUAGGGAAGAACAUAUGUGUAAGUAACUGUGCACAUCUUGACGGUACCUAAUCAGAAAGCCACGGCUAACUACGUGCCAGCAGCCGCGGUAAUACGUAGGUGGCAAGCGUUAUCCGGAAUUAUUGGGCGUAAAGCGCGCGUAGGCGGUUUUUUAAGUCUGAUGUGAAAGCCCACGGCUCAACCGUGGAGGGUCAUUGGAAACUGGAAAACUUGAGUGCAGAAGAGGAAAGUGGAAUUCCAUGUGUAGCGGUGAAAUGCGCAGAGAUAUGGAGGUACACCAGUGGCGAAGGCGACUUU
This 690-nucleotide ribosomal RNA is filed under the name uncultured Staphylococcus sp. RNAcentral's name for it is "bacterial SSU rRNA". It matches the Rfam family "Bacterial small subunit ribosomal RNA", at positions 56 to 728 of the family's 1533-position model. The record is from RNAcentral. Lineage: Bacteria; Bacillati; Bacillota; Bacilli; Caryophanales; Staphylococcaceae.